This 690-nucleotide ribosomal RNA is filed under the name uncultured Acidobacteriota bacterium. RNAcentral describes it as "bacterial SSU rRNA". It matches the Rfam family "Bacterial small subunit ribosomal RNA", at positions 15 to 686 of the family's 1533-position model. The record is from RNAcentral. Lineage: Bacteria; Pseudomonadati; Acidobacteriota.
GAUCCUGGCUCAGAAUCAACGCUGGCGGCGUGCCUAACACAUGCAAGUCGAACGCGAAAGGGGCUUCGGCCCUGAGUAGAGUGGCGAACGGGUGAGUAACGCGUGGGUGACCUACCCUCGAGUGGGGGAUAACGUUCCGAAAGGGACGCUAAUACCGCAUGACAUUCCGGGUUCGAAGACCUGGAAAUCAAAGCCGGGGACCGCAAGGCCUGGCGCUCGAGGAGGGGCCCGCGUCUGAUUAGCUAGUUGGCGGGGUAAUGGCCCACCAAGGCGACGAUCAGUAGCCGGCCUGAGAGGGCGGACGGCCACACUGGGACUGAGACACGGCCCAGACUCCUACGGGAGGCAGCAGUGGGGAAUUGUUCGCAAUGGGCGCAAGCCUGACGACGCAACGCCGCGUGGAGGAUGAAGGUCUUCGGAUUGUAAACUCCUGUUGAUCGGGACGAAAAGCUUCGACCUAACACGUCGAAGACUGACGGUACCGGUUGAGGAAGCCACGGCUAACUCUGUGCCAGCAGCCGCGGUAAUACAGAGGUGGCAAGCGUUGUUCGGAAUUACUGGGCGUAAAGGGCGCGUAGGCGGCCUUCUAAGUCGGACGUGAAAGCCCCAGGCUUAACCUGGGAACUGCGUCCGAUACUGGGAGGCUUGGAUUCGGGAGAGGGAUGUGGAAUUCCAGGUGUAGCGGUGAAA